CCAUCAGGUCAAGCUGGGGACUCUAAUGAAACUGCCUACGCAAGUAGUGAGGAAGGUGGGGAUGACGUCAAAUCAGCACGGCCCUUACGUCCAGGGCUACACACGUGCUACAAUGGCCGGUACAAAGGGCAGCUACCUGGUGACAGGAUGCUAAUCUCAAAAGCCGGUCUCAGUUCGGAUCGGAGUCUGCAACCCGACUCCGUGAAGUUGGAUUCGCUAGUAAUCGCGCAUCAGCCAUGGCGCGGUGAAUACGUUCCCGGGCCUU
Molecule: ribosomal RNA, 265 nt
Filed under: uncultured Sphingobacteriales bacterium
Lineage: Bacteria; Pseudomonadati; Bacteroidota; Sphingobacteriia; Sphingobacteriales
Description: partial 16S ribosomal RNA
Rfam family: Bacterial small subunit ribosomal RNA
Source: RNAcentral